UCGAUUCCAAGCCGCUGAGAAAGGCGGCCUGGUAUACACUGUUUACGCAUGCGCCAGAAUUACCAAGAAUCUUGGUAAUCGUAAAUUGCAGUAUAUUUAUCAGUAUUCUUAUUCCGCAUUAGUUUGUAAAACAUUGAUAUCCGUUUCAUUUAUAAUGAUGUCAUUUAAAAAAAGAAAUCUAGUCCAAGUUGUGUAAUGGCUGCUACCUUCUCUUCUGCUCUCGUGUACGCGUUAUCCUGUGUUGGAAUACCAGGUCUAGUCUUGAAAGACAAGCAGCUGGAGGCGUUGAAGUGUCUGUACGCUGGUGUUUAUGUGGGUACCGUACCGACCGGCUAUGGCAAGUCCCAGAGCAAGUCCAUCUGCUUUCCAGACACUCCCUUUCUUGAUUGAUGUGAAGCUUGACAGGACCAGUGCACCUCUCUCUGAAAAAAGUGUUGUGAUGGUGAUUUCUCCUCUUGUUUCUCUGAGUGAAGCCAUCUUCAAAGUGUUGGUGUGUCUGUUCGACGUUCAGUGCCAUUCUCUCUGGAAGGAAGUAUUGUUGUGACAUUUGCCGAAAAUUGGUCACAGAGUAAGUAGUAUCUGAUCCGAGAACUGUGUGGCCUGAAUGUGUUUACAAUCCGAGGGACUUGUGUGUAUCCGAUCCAAGAGACUUGUUGCUUGAGUGUGUAUUAAUGGAUAGUGCUUUCAAUGGUUUAACUAAUUUCUUAUGAGAUUAACUUGUCGCCUGAGUGUGUAUCCGAUCCGAGCCUCAAGUUAAUGAAUAAAUCUACAGAGCUGAUGUUUUACUUAGCAGUCUCUGCGUAUCACAAGAAACCACGCCCUAAUAUCUGCACAUUGUGUGAUCUGGUAGCUUUGCUAAACAUCGACAUGGUUGCUAAACAUCGACCUGGUUGCUAAACAUCGACCUGGCUGCUAAACAUCGACCUCCUUGGUAAACAUCGACCUCUUUGGUAAACAUCGACUGUUUAUUAGUUUUGAGACAAACGGCACCCCAUAAUAAAAGCUACAUAAGAUCAAGAAUGUACUCAUGACAUGGUUGGUAGAAGACUCACUAGCCUGUCAAUACAAUUAGUGGUCAUGGUUGGUAGACUGUCAAUACAAUUAGUGGUCAUGGUUGAUUGACUGCA
Molecule: long non-coding RNA, 1127 nt
Organism: Halichondria panicea
Lineage: Eukaryota; Metazoa; Porifera; Demospongiae; Suberitida; Halichondriidae
Exons: 3
Source: RefSeq, a predicted model, not a curated record